GGCUGAGUAGCUCAGUUGGUUAGAGCGGCGGCUUCAUAAGCCGUAGGUCACCGGUUCAAGUCCAGUCUCAGCCA
Molecule: transfer RNA, 74 nt
Filed under: Planctomycetia bacterium
Lineage: Bacteria; Pseudomonadati; Planctomycetota; Planctomycetia
Description: tRNA-Met
Rfam family: tRNA
About the family: Transfer RNA (tRNA) molecules are approximately 80 nucleotides in length. Their secondary structure includes four short double-helical elements and three loops (D, anti-codon, and T loops). Further hydrogen bonds mediate the characteristic L-shaped molecular structure. tRNAs have two regions of fundamental functional importance: the anti-codon, which is responsible for specific mRNA codon recognition, and the 3' end, to which the tRNAs corresponding amino acid is attached (by aminoacyl-tRNA synthetases). tRNAs cope with the degeneracy of the genetic code in two manners: having more than one tRNA (with a specific anti-codon) for a particular amino acid; and 'wobble' base-pairing, i.e. permitting non-standard base-pairing at the 3rd anti-codon position.
Source: RNAcentral